RNAcentral lists this ribosomal RNA (429 nucleotides) under Actinomycetes bacterium. RNAcentral describes it as "Actinobacteria bacterium partial 16S ribosomal RNA". It matches the Rfam family "Bacterial small subunit ribosomal RNA", at positions 355 to 776 of the family's 1533-position model. The record is from RNAcentral. Lineage: Bacteria; Bacillati; Actinomycetota; Actinomycetes.
UAGGGAAUCUUCCGCAAUGGGCGAAAGCUUGACGGAGCAACGCCGCGUGAGUGAUGAAGGUCUUCGGAUCGUAAUACUCUGUUAUUAGGGAAGAACAAAUGUGUAAGUAACUAUGCACGUCUUGACGGUACCUAAUCAGAAAGCCACGGCUAACUACGUGCCAGCAGCCGCGGUAAUACGUAGGUGGCAAGCGUUAUCCGGAAUUAUUGGGCGUAAAGCGCGCGUAGGCGGUUUUUUAAGUCUGAUGUGAAAGCCCACGGCUCAACCGUGGAGAGUCAUUGGAAACUGGAAAACUUGAGUGCAGAAGAGGAAAGUGGAAUUCCAUGUGUGGCGGUGAAAUGCGCAGAGAUAUGGAGGAACACCAGUGGCGAAGGCGACUUUCUGGUCUGUAACUGACGCUGAUGUGCGAAAGCGUGGGGAUCAAACAGG